This 444-nucleotide ribosomal RNA is filed under the name uncultured Prevotella sp. RNAcentral describes it as "bacterial SSU rRNA". It matches the Rfam family "Bacterial small subunit ribosomal RNA", at positions 354 to 794 of the family's 1533-position model. The record is from RNAcentral. Lineage: Bacteria; Pseudomonadati; Bacteroidota; Bacteroidia; Bacteroidales; Prevotellaceae.
UGAGGGAAUAUUGGGUCAAUGGGCGAGAGCCUGAACCAGCCAAGUAGCGUGCAGGAUGACGGCCCUAUGGGUUGUAAACUGCUUUUAUGCGGGGAUAAAGCGGGCGACGUGUCGCCCCUUGCAGGUACCGCAUGAAUAAGGACCGGCUAAUUCCGUGCCAGCAGCCGCGGUAAUACGGAAGGUCCGGGCGUUAUCCGGAUUUAUUGGGUUUAAAGGGAGCGUAGGCUGGAGAUUAAGCGUGUUGUGAAAUGCCGCGGCUCAACCGUGGCACUGCAGCGCGAACUGGUUUCCUUGAGUGCGCUGAAAGUGGGCGGAAUUUGUGGUGUAGCGGUGAAAUGCUUAGAUAUCACGAAGAACUCCGAUUGCGAAGGCAGCUGACAAGGCUACAACUGACGCUAAAGCUCGAAAGUGCGGGUAUCGAACAGGAUUAGAUACCCUGGUAGU